RNAcentral lists this small RNA (262 nucleotides) under Pogona vitticeps (central bearded dragon). RNAcentral describes it as "7SK RNA (ENSPVIG00000004081.1)". It matches the Rfam family "7SK RNA", at positions 1 to 258 of the family's 331-position model. Rfam says of the family: 7SK was discovered as an abundant small nuclear RNA in the mid-70s but a possible function has only recently been suggested. The record is from RNAcentral. Lineage: Eukaryota; Metazoa; Chordata; Lepidosauria; Squamata; Agamidae.
GCAUGAGAUGAUGAUCUGGCAAUCUUAUUGAUUGCCAGGAUGGAGUCAGCUGAUCUGGCUCACUAAGAGGAUGUCUCCUUUCUCCCUCACUGCUCCAUGUGCUUCCCUCCUGAAGUUGUGUAGUUGGUGGAAGAGGAUGACUAUCUCAGACAGAAGUGUACCAUUCUUAGGAGAAGGGUAUAUGGUAGCUGUGAUUUCCUUGCAAAAACCUUCAAACAAGCUCAAGGUUUCUUCCUAAUGCCUAACAGUAAUGUGCUGAUAG